UUUCUGAAGAAAAAAGGUAGAGAAAGGUAAAUCACCCAUCGACCGACAACUCUAUGUCAGCUACUUAAACCUUGCGGUUUCCCAUAGGACUAUUUGGCCAGAUUAGCCCCGCUUGGUCAAACAUUGGAGUGUGCCUUUUAGUAACCCCGACGCCUCCGGCAGGACAAAAAGAGGGCGCAACGUUAUAGGGAUUAUAUUUAACGUGCACUGAACGGGAUUUAUUGUGAUCGUUUGGUUCUCUGAUCGGCGGUGUCUUCGAACGAUCCUGCAAUUCACGUUGCAUCUAUAAUUUCAACAAAUAAGACAAAAUGGGGUAAAAUCUGCUCACACCCAGCCGAGCUCAUUGUUGCCGACCUGACGCGACCGCCAUUAUUAGCUCGCCUAUCCGUGAACGUCCAGCAUCCCGCAAAUGCGCCAGACUAACCGACUUCUGUUACAAAUGGUGCUAUAUUGAGAACAGCUCGAUGUACAAUCGAAAC
Molecule: non-coding RNA, 479 nt
Organism: Megalopta genalis
Lineage: Eukaryota; Metazoa; Arthropoda; Insecta; Hymenoptera; Halictidae
Source: RefSeq, a predicted model, not a curated record